Molecule: ribosomal RNA, 98 nt
Filed under: Paramormyrops kingsleyae
Lineage: Eukaryota; Metazoa; Chordata; Actinopteri; Osteoglossiformes; Mormyridae
Source: RNAcentral
UAUAGCAGCAAUAUCACCUGCGGUUCAGACCACAUAAUUUAUCUAGUGCCCAGUACUUGGAUGGAAGUCCAACUGGUAAAGCUGGGUUGCUGCUGGAA